Molecule: long non-coding RNA, 534 nt
Filed under: Drosophila guanche
Lineage: Eukaryota; Metazoa; Arthropoda; Insecta; Diptera; Drosophilidae
Source: RNAcentral
GUGAAGCUUAUGUGUAUUCGAAUUGCGAAAAUGGUAAGUGCUAAUUGAUCUCAACCCAAUCCAUCUGAUCACCUAAUGGAGUCUCUACAGCAGUCUCUACGCCUAGAAUGGAGAGCCGUCCCUCGCAGACAUUCUUGAAGUGAAGUAUCAAGAUUUCAAGUUCGCAUCUAAAUUAAUCAAAUCGUAUCAAAAUUGCGUCCUCGAAUCCUCCACAGGCCACAGGAGGAGGAGGAGGAUCUGACAGGGUAAACGAAUAGUGCUCGACUUUCGAUCGAAACUCUCUAAAUCAAUCAAGUGGAAAAUUGCAUUUCGGAAAGAAUAUAUUUCGUAAAUAAAAAGGAGAAUAUCAAAGUAUAGAAUCAUAUCUUGUUUUAUUUUGAUGUUGUCGUAUGAUGUUUUUAUCAGAGCAUUGGGAUUCCAGAAGAAAGUCUUGGAAGUGUUUUCAAUUGAAAUAAUUUGUUGUGUGAGUGAAAUGUCAAUCUGUCAGCAUAUGCUAUGUUAACAUGUUAACAGUAUGUCUGUGCUGUUAGGCGC